GUUUGACUGUGGAGUGUGGUGGUGUAGUGUAGUGUAGUGGACCCAAAGGAUACGAGAAGAAGGAUAUUUUCUCUCCUGUGAUGUGUUUUUGUGAUAUUAGCUGUAAGCUGUACAUGGAUCAGACUGAUUUUUCUACCAAGUAGAAGAGUAGGCUGUUUGAAAACGAAACCAAAAUGAAAAUUCCACACUUGAAGGUUUGGUGUAUAAUUCUGAGGACUCAAAGUAAGAUGGGCAAAGAGUCCAAGAGAAACUUGUUUUGGCGCCAAAUUAAAAGAUGUACAUUAUUGGAUUUGGGAAACUGCCAAAAAAUGAAAGUGUUUUUGCGGUAGAGCUAUAACCAAACUGAACAAUUUGUGGAUUGUGGAAAAAACUUUUCGAAAAAAAUGUGAUAUAUUUUCAAACUGUGAUGCUUCGUUUGUGAUGAAAGUUCUAAACUGCUAUAUGUACUUGCCUUUUGCUGAUAAUGUGAUAAAGUUAUGAGCUAAAUUCUAAAGCUUCAAGCAUUUAGAAAAUGUCUUGCCAAGCAGGAGAAUAAACUUCAGUAUAGCCUUUGGUGUAAGGAUAAAUCGAUGAAAGUGGCUGCCACAUUCCAAACUUGCACAUUGAUUUCCAUGAUGCCAUAUGAAAGAAGAAACAUAUCAAAUCAAAAUAACCUAAAAAAAAGUCUUAGGACUUAAAUAAAAGUCUUAAUGGACUUUAAAAAAAUGAUAAAAACCGAAUCAUU
This is a long non-coding RNA of Stomoxys calcitrans (stable fly), 724 nucleotides long. RefSeq lists it as uncharacterized. The record is from RefSeq and is a predicted model, not a curated record. The transcript is spliced from 3 exons. NCBI's taxonomy places the organism in Eukaryota, Metazoa, Arthropoda, Insecta, Diptera, Muscidae.